This 375-nucleotide ribosomal RNA is filed under the name uncultured bacterium. RNAcentral's name for it is "bacterial SSU rRNA". It matches the Rfam family "Bacterial small subunit ribosomal RNA", at positions 521 to 896 of the family's 1533-position model. The record is from RNAcentral.
UAAUACAGAGGGUGCAAGCGUUAAUCGGAGUUACUGGGCGUAAAGGGCGCGUAGGCGGUGAGAUGUGUGUGAUGUGAAAGCCCUGGGCUUAACCUAGGAAGUGCAUCGCAAACUAUCUGACUGGAGUAUAUGAGAGGGUGGCGGAAUUUCCGGUGUAGCGGUGAAAUGCGUAGAGAUCGGAAGGAACGUCAAUGGCGAAGGCAGCCACCUGGCAUAAUACUGACGCUGAGGCGCGAAAGCGUGGGGAGCGAACAGGAUUAGAUACCCUGGUAGUCCACGCUGUAAACGAUGAGGACUAGAUGUUGGUUGGGGAACCAAUCAGUAUCGAAGCUAACGCGAUAAGUCUUCCGCCUGGGAAGUACGGCCGCAAGGUUG